This 332-nucleotide unclassified non-coding RNA is filed under the name soil metagenome. RNAcentral describes it as "partial contains 5.8S ribosomal RNA, internal transcribed spacer 2, and large subunit ribosomal RNA". The stretch from base 1 to 120 matches the Rfam family "5.8S ribosomal RNA", at positions 35 to 154 of the family's 154-position model. The record is from RNAcentral.
GAUGAAGAACGCAGCGAAAUGCGAUAAGUAAUGUGAAUUGCAGAAUUCAGUGAAUCAUCGAAUCUUUGAACGCACAUUGCGCCCGCUAGUAUUCUGGCGGGCAUGCCUGUUCGAGCGUCAUUUCAACCAUCAAGCCCUGUUUAGGCUUGUGUUGGGGCCCUGCGGUUGCCGCAGCCCCCUAAAUGCAGUGGCGGGCUCGUUGUCACUCCGAGCGCAGUAGCGUAUCUCGCUCUGGGCGUGGCGGCGGGUGCUAGCCGUGAAACACCCGCUAAGGUUGACCUCGGAUCAGGUAGGAAUACCCGCUGAACUUAAGCAUAUCAAUAAGCGGAGGA